Molecule: non-coding RNA, 1443 nt
Organism: Callorhinus ursinus (northern fur seal)
Lineage: Eukaryota; Metazoa; Chordata; Mammalia; Carnivora; Otariidae
Source: RefSeq, a predicted model, not a curated record
UGUCCCGCCCCUCCCUCUUGGCAGCGCAGGGCUGGCCUUCAGGCCGCUCCUGCGACGGCCGGGCUCCCGUCUGUCCCUCCCUUGCGGCCGGUGUGGCCUUCGACAGACCCGUCAUUCGGAGAAGCCCCCAGGCCUGAGCGUCCGCUGUAGGGCCUUUAGACCUGUGGCCCCCGGUGGCCUCCAUCUCUGUGCUUCUCAUCAGCCACUGCCCCACCUCAUGCUCCGCCUCCACGCGCCCCUCUUGCAAAUGCUUUCCGGAGCUUUGGUUUUCGUGGCCUAAUUCCCCGUGUUUUCCUCCUGCCUCUCCGGCCGCUGCCUUUCAACCCCAGAAGUUCCUCUUCCUCUGGGCUAGGUCCUGAGCCAGUUCCUAAGGCGACCCGAACUUUCGCAUGGCUUCACCCCAGACCCAGGCACACGUAGCCCCAAACCUGUAUUUCCCCGGCAUCCCACUGUCUGUUCCACGGCCCCGCUUAACAUGAGCGUCUCACCUCCCUCCUCAAACAGCUCUUUCCGCAGUCUUCACUUUCUCGGAACAUGGCACUAAGUCUUCUAAGGUGCUUGGGCCAAAACCCUUGGAGUUAUCCUUGAUUCCUCUGUCGGCCUCAGCCACCCAGCAAUCUAGCAAGGCCUUUUUGCUCUACCAUCGGCUAUCUCCACUCCACCCACAAGCCUGACGUCCAUCUUGUCUCAUCCAGACUAUUUACUCUCCCUGAUCUUGCCUGCAUCUAUUCAUGCUGUAAUCUUUAAGAGGAAAUUAAAUCGCGAUCCCCUACCUCCGGCCUCAAACCCUCCAUGACUUCCCACUGCACUUAAAAUCUAUACUCCCUCCUCUCCCAGCUGGUCCUGUAUGGUCGGGCCCCUUUCUCUCUCUCCCUCCUUGUCUCUCACCACCUCGCCCUCAACCUCCAUGCUCCAGCCACAAGGCCUUUUAGUGGUUAUUUGAAUAAUUCACAUUGUCUUCUUGAAGCCAUCCCCUAGACUUGCCCCUGCAGUGUAGCUGCCCCCGUUCACAGACAAACUGAAGACACCUGUGGUCACAGUGGAGCCGGUCUGACAGAUGUUGAGUCAGGCAAAGCAGGACAACUUUUAGAGGCUAGAGGCCCAGCAGAGCACUCAGCUGAUGCCAGAAAAGGACCCAGGUGUCAGGAAUUCAUGAAAAAACUGAGGCAGAGAGAAAGAGACGUGCUUCUGGACACACAGCUGAGAGAUGGCAGAGAUGGGGUUCAAACCCAGGCAGCCUGGCUCCAGAGUCAAUGCUAAUGUUGCCUUCCGUGUGGCUGGACUGGAGCAUCACAGAAAAGCCUGUUAGGAGGGAGUUUUUCAGACUACACAUCAGGCUUCUGCUUCUGGACAAGGCUGAAGUGUGAAGAGGGAACCAACCUACUGGAGAUCUAGUUGCUGUGCUCCUGCCCUCAGAGGACUUGUGGGAAGAUCCCUGCUGGA